This 316-nucleotide ribosomal RNA is filed under the name uncultured eukaryote. RNAcentral describes it as "partial 18S ribosomal RNA". It matches the Rfam family "Eukaryotic small subunit ribosomal RNA", at positions 1470 to 1796 of the family's 1831-position model. The record is from RNAcentral.
CCCUUAGAUGUUCUGGGCUGCACGCGUGCUACACUGAUGCAUUCAGCAAGUAUACUUCCUUUGCCGAGAGGCCUGGGCAAUCUUGUAAACAUGCAUCGUGAUAGGGAUAGAUUUUUGCAAUUUUUGGUCUUCAACGAGGAAUUCCUAGUAAACGCAAGUCAUCAACUUGCAUUGAUUACGUCCCUGCCCUUUGUACACACCGCCCGUCGCACCUACCGAUUGAAUGGUCCGGUGAAGCCUCCGGAUUGGCGCGCACCUCGGUGCCGCCGAGAAGUUGGCUAAACCUUACCAUUUAGAGGAAGGUGAAGUCGUANCA